AUAUACGGUGGCGCAGUUGGUAGCGCUGUUUCCUUGAAGCAAGAAGGUUCUGGGUUCGACUCCCAGUCGGUGGU
Non-coding RNA from Crenichthys baileyi (White River springfish), 74 nucleotides. The record is from the annotation of a GenBank genome assembly. NCBI's taxonomy places the organism in Eukaryota, Metazoa, Chordata, Actinopteri, Cyprinodontiformes, Goodeidae.